Molecule: small nucleolar RNA, 130 nt
Organism: Jaculus jaculus (lesser Egyptian jerboa)
Lineage: Eukaryota; Metazoa; Chordata; Mammalia; Rodentia; Dipodidae
Product: small nucleolar RNA SNORA15
Exons: 1
Source: RefSeq, a predicted model, not a curated record
GUGUGGCUGAAAACUACUCUGAAUAAUUUACACAGCCAGACACCAUGCAAAAGUUCUCCUUUUAAAAUGAACUAUGGUAUACUUGGCUUUUUAAUAGUAUUAUCAUCAUUAAUUAAAAGCAAGUGCAAGC